Molecule: transfer RNA, 73 nt
Filed under: Rhodococcus (subgen. Prescottella) equi
Lineage: Bacteria; Bacillati; Actinomycetota; Actinomycetes; Mycobacteriales; Nocardiaceae
Description: Rhodococcus hoagii tRNA-Met
Rfam family: tRNA
About the family: Transfer RNA (tRNA) molecules are approximately 80 nucleotides in length. Their secondary structure includes four short double-helical elements and three loops (D, anti-codon, and T loops). Further hydrogen bonds mediate the characteristic L-shaped molecular structure. tRNAs have two regions of fundamental functional importance: the anti-codon, which is responsible for specific mRNA codon recognition, and the 3' end, to which the tRNAs corresponding amino acid is attached (by aminoacyl-tRNA synthetases). tRNAs cope with the degeneracy of the genetic code in two manners: having more than one tRNA (with a specific anti-codon) for a particular amino acid; and 'wobble' base-pairing, i.e. permitting non-standard base-pairing at the 3rd anti-codon position.
Source: RNAcentral
GGGCGUGUAGCUCAGCGGUAGAGCGCCGGUCCCAUAAGCCGGUGGUCGCAGGUUCGAUCCCUGCCGCGCCCAC